MicroRNA precursor from Sorghum bicolor (sorghum), 107 nucleotides. It matches the Rfam family "MIR5565 microRNA precursor family". Lineage: Eukaryota; Viridiplantae; Streptophyta; Magnoliopsida; Poales; Poaceae. The record is from Rfam.
GUAGUCCGAUUCGCAUCAAUCCAUAUAUGUUGGGGUGGGUUGGAGUGGAACUUGAACUAAAUUUCAUCCCAAUCCACUCCAACACGUGGAUUGAGAUAAAUCCGACA